ACGAGAUGAAUACAGAGGUUAAACGAGCAUCCCACACCCAAAAGGUGCCCCACAUAGGUCUUCCCCGAAACCCCCCAGUAACUAAGGUAAACAACGUAAAAAAAGCACCCAUUUCUGUACCGGUUCCGCAAGAGCGAAGAAAAAGGGGAUGUUUUGUUAAUAGGAAUAAGAAAGUGUUUAUAGCCGUAGCGAUAUAAACAAGAAUACUCAUCCGAGCCGCAGGAACGUGUACAUAAAGAAUACGAGAAUUUCCACCUUGUUGAAGAUCUAAUGGUGCUACCCGAAGACUUAAAUGAAUAGCCAUCGCUGAAAAGAACAACCGAGAUCCAAUGGAAAUUUCCGCAUAGCUUCUGGUCUUUGACAUCAAAAAAGAAGGUUGUAAUAACGAAAGGGACAUCUGAUAAUUUUGUCCUAGCUAGUGGAACAAGAAAAAGAGCUGUAUGAUAAGAGUCCUUAUCCUACCCACCCAAUUUAUUUAGUUUAUUUUAUGGGAGUAGCAAGAACAGCUCAAUUUAAAAGGUUAGCCGCGUACCAAAGAGCUCGAUCAGCUAUUCUAUUUUUCAGUCCGGUUGACGCCACCCGAUAGGAAGAAAAGAGCAGAAAGGUUUUUCGAAGGCUUCAAGCCCUGUUUCAGCUGAGAGCAUUGAUUCCCCUGGCACCUCUCUUCCACAGCUUGGCACGUUUAAAGAAGGUGCCUACACUAAAGUGUACAAAGUGGCAUAAAGUUAUUCUUUUCGGGUUCGGUCAGGAGGGACAAAAGAGAGAUGCUUUCUAUCAGUCAAAAGCUGAUACCGCCCCCCCUCAUGCUCCCACGGUCCGCUUACCGAGGAAUAGAAAGGGAGAAUAAUAGAUAGAUAUCUAAGCGUAGAAAGAUUAGCUAACGAAUGCUCCUAUCCUAAGGGAAUGAGUGCUUUUAGAAACUAGGAUUCCGCUUGGCCGCUCUGAACUCUUGGUUUCAGCUCUUAACAAGAAUUGCCAUAGUUGAAUGUGAACAACUCGAUUGGUUAAGUCAUUUACCCGGUUAUAAGGAAGACUAGCUAGAAAUCCUUCUCACUUCAUUUCUCGAUAUGAAGAAUAGCCGCUUAGUUUCGGUUUCGUAGUCAAGGGAUGAGACUUUACUUCUUCCCCCGCUUAGGCACCUUAAGCGCUAGUUCUGCUUAUAAGAUAAUAUCGCUUUGUAAUUCAAUUCUUCCUAUUCUCCUGCUACAAAUGCCAAAACAAACACUAAUUAAGUCUAAUGCGCUGCGCCCGAUUGAGCGAGUUACAGUCAGUUCAGUCUAGCUUAAGGCCCUAUUGAGAAGGGGAGGGUAGGAGUCUUCUUCAGCCUUUGUGGGAGCCUAAUAGUAUAGGGUAGUCGGAAUGUGUUGGCAAGAAUAGUUGAGAAUCAGCUGUUAUAGGCUGCAAGAAAUAAUCUCUUAGGAAUCUCUGUCUCUAUGUCAUCAAACGGUUUGAUCAAUAGAAUUAUAAGAGCAGGGGGCAUCCAUAGUAGGAAGAGGACAAGGAAGUGAUUGAUCGGAGUUUGCCGGGCCAGGAGUUGAAGAAGGAGCUAGCAUUUCUUCAGUGAUCAAUCUCGUUCCAACAAUUGUUCUUACUCGUUUAGGUCAACUCGUCAAUCCGUAUCUAAUAGCCGCCGAAAGCCAAAGCUUCACUCUAGGUCGAAAUCACUGCCUUUCGAUCAAUCCUUUAGAUUCUCAACAUGACAUUAGACUUUUUCCUUAGAGAAGCGGGUGAAAGGCGGUUUUUCUACUACUUGGAAGAGAAGCUGGGUAGCUCCGUAAUCUGUCAAGGAGGUGGCUUUCGCCUAUAAGGACAGUUGGAGUUGAUGGUCCUAGUUCUGUUACAGUAAGAGCUGUUGCUGGAAUAACAGGUGUUGAUGGAAUAGAAGCUCUUCCUGCUCUCGUAUCCGAUGAAGAAUAGGCCCAAGGGACAUCCAUGGACAACCGCCACCCACGUGGUUUAGCUAAUUCAAUAGCCUUCGGAGAAAAGCGACAAGUACCACUGGACAAGCAAAUCACUUUUGGAAUAACCUUUAAGGAUCGGAUCCUCUGACGGUGAAAUGCCGGAAUGAUGUGAGGAUAUCCCGAGCGAGUCAGCUAAACUAAACAGAGACGGAAAUCUAAGUACUAUUCUGGCCAGCGUAUGCUUGUUGAAUUUAAGGCAUACCGCACACUGCUUCAAAUAGAAAGAUAUUGGUUUAAUCCCCAAGCCUCGCCAGAAGACGUUCCACAUAAGCAUUAUUUCAUCUUGUUCCUUGAGCAAUUGAGGAAGCGAAGCGGGCUGCUUGUCUUGCCUCGAGCCCAUAAGAGAAGUACUGCUCUGGACUAGGAUGGUGCUGUUCUGCUUAAAACUAGGCUAGGAAAUGGGCCUAACUCCAUUCGCUGAUGAACCCUUAACCUCGGGCGGUAUGCUUGGUGACGCGUGCCGUCUACUCUGCUUGAGUGCAUACACUAGGGUAGGGCUAUCAAAGUGAGCAGUUUCCCCUGUUCACUAUGGCUGAAGUCAGUUUGCAAGACAAAGUCUAGUUUUUACUUUGAGUUCCUAUUUUACGAACAUAUAAGAAGCAUUCCACAGUCGUAGGUUCUUCUCUUUCUCUGGCAAAAAAAAGAAAAAGCUUAUUAUAAUCCGAUCUUUCAACCGCACUUCAUGGCAAAGCGGUCUUCUUUCAAAGAAUCUCCGUCCCUAGUCCCCACGUCUGGGGAACUUCUGAACUUCAUGUUCACAUCUUUGUCUCCCUCUUUCAAGUGAGUUCAGUUAGCCCUUAGGGUCAGAAGAGAGCUCAUCUUUACUUCCUUUCCAAAGCUACUGAUUCUCUUAUAGCCUUCGUUCCCCGAGGGAAAGAAUCAAUUCUAAUUCUAAAAUUAUAUAAAUAAAUAGAUAUGAGCUGAUCGUCCCCCCCCAGAAAAGGCAUUAGUUCGUAUAAUGAUCAGUAACAUGAGUAGGCAAUACCAUUACUAUUUCGAUUUCCAAGCGAUGCCCACUACAGCUGGGAAUCCCCGCAUCAAACUCCUGCCGAAGAUUGAUGAAACACAAGACGAUCUGGGACAUCGAAACUGUUCGUAAUAGGCCGAAGAAUGGUGCAUUAGAUCCGGUAGCUACCGAGCGUAGAGUUAGCUUUUGGCAGCUCAUGAACCGACCGAAGGAGGGGUUGACUCUGCUGCCGGGCUUUGAGGAAUGGGAGCGGCUUUGGAAUCCGCGUAAGUAGAAGUGGGUCACCCCAUAUAAGUAAUAUGGGCAAGUACGCGAGAUGUAACCAAUAUCUUUAUAUUUUUCAACGAAGUCCUUCUUUCAGCAAAAUCGAAGCCCCUUAGUGCAAUCGAUUUCAGUAUGCCGGUUUAAUUUUAAGAGAAAGAGGGAAGAAAUCCUUACAAUCUCAGAACCAAGGAGAGAAGGUGGCGAAGGAUCCGGAUUCACUUUUUUCAUACCCGGCUCAAAGCGUAAAGGGCUUUUCCUGAUUAAGGAAGAAGCCUAGAAGGCAGAACUCUGAACUAAGCCCAAAGGCUAGAUCCCAUUUCAGUAGUUCAAGUAGAGAUUUUAGGCUAGCCAGCUUUCAGUGCAAAGGAAAGAUGUAUUGAUAAUCUAUAGCAUAUUAUAAAAGACGGAGCUACCAAGCAAAGAAGUGAAAGGCCUAUCAUUUAUAACAAUAGUUGUCCUAACCUGUCACAGAGUUUGAACAGGUCUAAGAGCUAAUCAUUCUACCCGUUAGAAUAUUUAUAGCAGUAAUAAGUAAGACCAGUACUAGGAUUGGCUUAAGAAGUCCAAAUCUCUGACUAGCUCCCCCCGUAAAUGGCAUAUCCCUAGGUAGACAACAAGUUCUGGGUAUAGUGAUACAAUCUAUUGGGUCUAGUCAUACUAAAAAAAAGGGUAGGUGUAAAGGUACUUUUAUUACCCGGUGAAUUGAUUGCAGUCCCUCUGGCAUAACCCCCUCACCGAAGUGAUCAAGCAAGUGACACUAGUUAGAAGGGUAGAAAAAAAGAGCUUCUAGAAAGAAAAUGAGUGCUUCUCUGGAAAGGGAGUUUUCCUUAGAGUUCAGGAUCCGUUAGGGCGAGGAAAAAAGAGCUGGCUAAAUACAGAUCGGUACAAGUCCUACAAGUAGCCCUUUCUAGCUCCAAUGCGGAUAACGAAAAGAGAACAAGGACUAAUAGACCAGUAGACCAAUAGGCCAAGUUACACGGCUAAAAGGAAAGCAACUCUUUUCUUAGGAUUGGCUACUUCACUCAUUCAAUAGCUGGUUAAGAAAAGAAGGCUUUCAGUGCAGUAGGAAAGAGAGGUUAGAGUUGGAGGAGUGCCAAGCUUGACCCGAUCUAAGGACCUGAAAGCUUCGACACAGGAGAUUAGGACAGAGAAGUUAGCGGUAGGGGUCUUUCCUCUCCGUUACCUUGUUGGGUCAACCAAUUGCAUUACUUCUUUCGGAAGCUUAUUUAUGUGGGAUUCUUUCUGAAAAAGCAUUCUAGUUGUGCUUUACCUUUCUCCGCUCUCCCCGGCUGUGCCGUACCGGUGAACUGAACUCGAGUUCGUUCUAUUCGUUCUGAAUGCUAACCUAACAUCGCCCUUGGUGAUUGGCCAAUUCCAAGGUCUUUCUCAAUAGAGCUCUACUAAUGAAAUAGGGGUGGCGAAACCAAGGCUUUCAGUCCCUCUCAAUGGGUAAAUCGGGGUAGACCAGCACUGUUAAAAGCUACUCCCAGCCAUGUUCCCGCUCGGUUUCAAGUCUAUUCCGUAGCGACUGCCCCAGGUCCUCCGCCCAACUCACGACAGUUGGUACAUUAGUGAAAGAUGCAGUUCCCUUACCUAUUCGUUUUAGAUAUUUUAGCUUUAGCUAGAAUCAACCCCCAAUAUAGAGGGCACCCACCUUCCAUUCCUUAUUUUCUUUGUUGUUUGACAUGUUCUCACUCUUUUAAAAACUAACCUCUGGAGUGCCUGAAGUACGAGAAGUCCCUUCCAACGACAGUUAUACUAUAAGUACAUCCACCCGCACCAUUCGACUUCCUGCCCGGCGUACACUUUACUUUGGGUUAGAAAGCAGGGCGAGCGACAUAGAAUGUAUUCCAUUGGUCCUUGGCUUCCACCUACAGCGAAUAUGGAGCAAUUACCGUUCAGAAUAAGAGAAGUAGGAAGAGAUUCAUAUUUACUGAGAUCACCAGAUCGAAGGCAGGGGUUUUUUUUUACAGCGAAAAACCUCCAGAAUCAAAGAGUUUAGCUUAGAGGAGGCACUCAUUUAUUCGUAUGUAAGGGAUAUGCUAUUUUUUCUCCUAACUUGCUUAUGGAUUGGAUUCUCCGUUUGGUGGUUUAGCAUACCAGAGCAAUUGCUUGUAAAUCCGAGGGCUCUUUCCUAUCCUGAUCUAGAGCUAGUAGUUAGGGUGGUAAGGGACACAUUCCAGAGCCAUGUUUGCAGCUCUCAUCAUGUCCCCAGCCCGUGCGAAUGUGGGGAGCUCCUUAAGCAGCGCAAGAUUUAUUUGCUCCGAAGGAACCCUUUGAUCCACUCGGGGUAAACAACGCGAACUGGAAGAAGUUUGACUGAGGGACCAGCUUACUCAGGUUGAGGGAAAUGAAAGCAUCAAGAGAACCCAAGGCUUGAUGGGAAUAGUGAAAGAAAAGAAAGAGAAGUGGACGAAAGAAUUGAAUCCGGUAAGGAAUAAGUGUUGCUUUGGCUUAAUUGCUUGAACCAGGUCUAGCUAGGCUGGGAGUCGAUUAGCCCGAGUUGUGUUAAGAUAAGUGGCACUUGAAUUUGAAGUAGCCAUCGGCCAGGUCUUGGAUGCUGAAUGAUAGGUCUUACCACUUGUAUCGAAAGACCCACUUUUAAUUCAUGCUGAGGAGAUUGAUUGAAAAUAAAAUACGGAUCCUGAUCUUGGAACUGCUUGAAGUCAAAACAAAGCGUGAACCAGGUCACAGGUAUUUCUUGCUAAUCUGGUGAUAUCGUAAUAAAGGUAAAGUAGCCAAGAGGAAUCGAAUACCCUAUCAGGGUAGACCGAGAAUAGUUAGCAGGCGAGACAGAUAUUGAAUUAACGGAAAGGACCUUCCCUGCAAAAAAUUCCAAAGCAGCGCGAAAGAAAGACUUCCUUCUUAUUGCGUUCGUGCCCUACGACUAGUAGUUCACUCACUCCCUUAGGAAGACUAAGGUCAAUUCAGCUAUCUCUCGGGCCUAACUAUCCGAGUGAUACCCUCACUUUAAAUGCCCUCACGGAUACCUUCUUAUACCCUUAGGAAGACUUAAGGGAGUUAACCAAUCUCUAUCUCUCUUUCCGCUGCUAACUGCAAAGGCACGUGAGGGAAUGGUAUGAAUGAAUUCAGGUAGGUAAGGAAGGCAUAACAGCGGAUAUCCUAGAGAUAGAUAGAUGAUCUCGCCAUUUUGUGCUGGCCCCUUAGAUUAGAAGAGGAUUCUCAGCCCGCCUUGCUCACAGUAUAUGAUAUGACGUGCUAAUGAUGUUUCCGGGUACUUUGGUGGAAGCAUUCUUUAAUCCUGAGGAUUGAGGAUAAUCUGGCUUUCUUUGCAGAACAGUCGAGGAAGGAAUCCUUAUAGGAUGAUUAAUAUGGCUGCAUUUACAGACGACGACCUAUUCUUAUUAUUAGGUUAGGUUAUUAGGGACGAGGAGCAUAAUAGUCCUCUGUAUGGCACAGGGACCAGCCAAGAAACCACAAUCAAUAGAAUCUGACCCAGGUUCUUAAGUCAAUUUGAUCACCCUGCAAAAACUUCGGCAUCUGGAUUUGGAUGUACAGCAUCUAUCCAGGAAAAGAUUUUAUUCCAAGGGCGUAGCGUUCAAUCUGCCUCAACGAGCUUUGCAACUUCAACAAGGAGUGGAAAGGGCCCCCCUAUCAUAGGCGGCCGAAGGCACAGCCUGUUUAACAACAGCAAGAAAAAGGACAAUUUAUUCUUCUCUCUAUACGAAAUAAAUGAUACGCGAAAUCUGGCCGAAAAAACUCAACCUGUGAGAGCUCAUUCCCUUUUUGAAGCAAUGAAUUAUUUUUUUACGACGAUAGGAUACCACCGGAUGCGGUUUUUGUUAUGAACUGACAAGAUCUAAGUCUCCCCUUCCGCCGCUGGACUGGAACGAAGGAACUCGAAAAGGGAUCACCAACAGUUAUUUCGAUCAUCACUGUACGAUAAUAGUUGACUUGUAUAACAACCCUUAUCUGAAAGUAGUCUAAGUUGAUGACUUUGUUAUAGUAGUUAGACAGCGUAUCUGUUAGAUAAUAUCCUUAUUGUUAGGACUUUUUGUUGAGCGAAGGGACCAUGGGAAUAUGGGUCCCGAGCGGUUUAUCAUUGCUUUAUCUAUUCUAUUGGGAGUGAGGGAACGGAUCGUUGGCCGUUGUCUUGUUUCCUGUGCUUGUUUUCCCGUGGUUUAACUUCAAUAAUUAUUAUAUAUAUUAAUAAAAAAAAAGUAUGUCACCGCUAAGAAUAGCUACCAAUGCAAACCAGUUUGUCUUUUAUUAUAAUAAUCCAGUAGCAAGCAAGUCGAAAGAAAGGGAAGGGAUUCUGAUCCAACCAGCAAGGCAUACCACUUAACCAAGCUCUUUAUGAGCGGUAUCCAUCUUCACCUUAUUCAACUCUACUUAGCCUCCGGCUUGGGCGUGGUGAAGCAAGGUCUCGAUCGACAGAUCUAGUGGUCAGUCACCGUCCAUAUUUGAUUCUACGGCCAAUGCUGCUAAAUUCAAAUAGCAAUUAAACCGGGAAGCCCUAGCCUUGAAACAAGGGGCUUUUUUACUAAUAUAUAAAUAGAAAUCUGAUAAAGAUGCCUAGUCUGCGCUGUUAGAAUCCAUUGGAGAAAGGCUUGCUCACUUCUUCAUCUGUGAGAUGAUCGUAUUAUAAGUUAUAAUAAUGGGAUUGGACCUUGCUUCCAUCCCCUCUUUAAGAGACUCCAGAAAGUCGUUGACCCAUAGAUGUAAUAGCCGAAAUGUUUUCCUUUACGCCAUAGGAACUAGUAUAGAAUUAUAAAUCCUUACUCUGCGAGAAAGAACUACGAUAGAGAGAAGAGCAAGGCAGUAUGUAAUAGGGUGCUCUCUCUUAUGGUUAAAUUAGCGUUCUCUAAGAUAGCUAUCAUCUGGUAUGAUCGUUCUCUCCGGUGUCUAUGAUUUGAGAUUUAGCUUCUGUCAGUAUCUUUCUAGUUCGCUAUCAUUUUGAUUUUAGCGUCCUCUUGUUAGAAAGAAGAUAGGCCAGGUUGAAUAGAUAGGAGUUCAGAAACCUUCUCCCGAAGUUACGGGGGCAUUACCCGCGGGUGUGGGGCUGGAUUUCUAUAUCGUAUAUAUACGCGGUCACACUUAUCCUGGACUGUGUUACGGUUUUUUUAGAGACAGAGAGUAAAUUGGAAAUACUACUUAAGUUAAAGGGGGAUAGACCGUCUAGCCAGUGCCGCUACCCACUUCUACUAAUACUAAGGCUGAAUCUUUGCAAUCUUCUAUUUUGUUGAAUAGCAAUUUCCUAUAAGAAGAUAGGUACUCACAAAGGCAGACAUCCAGUUUCCAUCGUAGUGCUAGACCAUGUUGGGGCUUCGUGUCCUGCCCCCCGGAAAUCACAGCCCUCUAGAUGGUAUGGUACAAAGAAGAUAGCUCAGACAUACAUCCAAUCUAUAUACAGCGUGAUCCGUGUUAUGAUAGAAGUAUAAGUUGUUUAUACUUUUGAUAUAGGCCUCUUUUUCUCUUCCUCGAUAUAAGGAAGCAAAAAAGGAUCGCGUGUAGGCAUCCAACUGAUAUUUUGAUAUAGAAAGAUCUUACCCAAGACGAUCAUCCGGGUAGUAGGAUUGGGCCUGCAGUGGUAGAACCUGCUUUGAUAGAAAAUAGGAUCAAAGCCACUUCCUCUGCUUUUCUUUCUGGAUACCAAAGGGUUCAGGGGCAUAGCCUAGCACGAUUACUACAUAGAAAGAAUUUAGCUUGCUCGGGCGUAUUUCAUGCUUACACCUAAAGGUGUCCCCAGUUCUAUUCCUUUUUUUGUUCGGAUCAGACGGUGGUGAGCAAUCGAUCGAGAGCAAGGGAUGCUAGCGCUCUGAUCCUCAUAUUCCUUGCUUCAGUUGGUUCAGGAAGCGCUAAGCGCACUACACUAAUAUAAGAAAGCGUAGCGGUUCGGAAUCAAAUCCGCUCUUUCAGCGAGUCUUCUUUUAUCCACAGAAUCCGAUGCAGUUAGCGAGAGUCGUGGUAGUUCAGUUCGAAAGGCAGUUCAGUCAUUUUGGGGUAGAAAUCCUAAAAAAGGUAUGCCCAGCCCUUCUUUCUUGCUGUGAUUCCAUUUCCUGCACUAAGCCAAGUUAGCUCAUCUUAGGGUUUUUUUUUCUUAUUAAGAAAGGCUUAAGUUCUUCCUUUAUUAAGGCAAGGUCCGAGAGUAAGAUGGCUAUCUUUUCAGCUCUUCUGACUAUGCUUUCCGUGGUAGCUAGGCUUAUAUCAAACCAGACUAGUUCCUGGUGGUUUAGUAAUUUAGUAAGGGCUUUAGCAAAAGACGUAACUGCUCUUGUCGGGGCUACUAGAUGGUAAAGAUAUGCCACACCUGGACCAGGCUAAAAACGAGGAGUCUUCCCUUUUCGGGGUUAGACUCUAUAGAACCAGAACAAUAGACUGAUUGACUGUGGUCAGGUCAGAGCCCUCUGUUGGAGGAGAUUGAUUGGACUUUAUACCGUACCUUACUUAGUCUUCCGCUGGACCUGGAUUCUCUAAAGCUUAAAAAUAGAAGUACCCCUAGGGUAGGGGGAGGAGGAAUUUACUUCUGUAAAAAGGAGAUCGCAGAUAAAACCAUUUCAUCUGUAUCUGGCACUCACUUCUUUACUUGGCUUAUCUAGUAGACUGUUUUUAGCGGGAGAAAACCUUUAGCUUUAGCAAGUACUACUCUAACUACUCCAGGAUAGUAUAACCGAUUAUCUCAUAAAGCCGUUGAAUUGCCCUUGGUUGUCUUACCCAUUUGUUAUAUCUUAUUCCCACCUUGUUCUAUUGCUUUUUCUCGAUUGUAUUCUGGGGCGCUAGACCUCAUUCUCUUUGAUACGCUUAUUCAAUUGACAUUGCCCCUUCCUCCUAUUUAGAAAAUAUUAAGUAAGAUGGCUUGUGAUGUGCCAGGGCUUAGAGGGGUCGGCGCCAACAACGGCUGCCUUUACUCGACAGUACACGUUCGCUUCGCUCACUAAAAACAAGCAAGGGAUACAACCAGCUUUCGCUUCCUUGUGCAGAGCUAACCCUUGUUUUAUGGGUUUGGCGGUUGCUACCAAGACGAUUUCUUUAUGCCCAUCAAAGGACCUCGAGAUGCUAAUCCACGAAAAACGAUACGAGAAAUUCGAAAGAACUCAUAUACGGAACGAGGGCGACCCGUGGAAAUACAUCGGUUUCUUACUCGUGCAAAGGAACUAUUUCUUGGCAACUUGGACAACUUAUAACGAAGUUUGUCCCGCAUAUCACUAGGAAGAUCGGAAUCUUUUCAAAAGGCUUUAUAAAGCUUUCGUCUCAAUUCAUAUUUAGCCGCGAGCAAUCUGCGUUUGUGAUCUCGUAUAUUUCGCUUCUCCGACAUCUCUUACUGAGUUUCUCCCUCAUCCUCAUCUUCAUCUUUUUGAGCCGCUCCACGGUGGUACGGAACACAUUCUAAUUCCCACUGAAGCUAGUACGCAAUGAAGACCAAUCCGCGAGCUAAACUAGAACAUAAAAUAGCAGACAAGCUUGCGUCUCCGUCUUGGCUAGAAUCCUUCCACUCUUUCUCCUACAAGCCACUCAUGCAUGCAGUCUAGCUCUACUUAUUCUUUCUACGAGAUAUCUUGUUCUUGGAGCAGCUGAGGAAGGAAAUUUACAUUGCGAAGAAGUAGCUCUAUGCUCUGGGGAAGGCUAAUAUGAUGACAAGAUGGCCAUACUAUAUAUUUGGUAUUCGUGGGAAUCAGAUUCAUUUUUAGCGGAGAUCCUUUCGUAUCGGGUGAAAUCAGAGCUUGAGCGUCUGGACUCUGGGCGUUCGAGCUACAGUUUUUUAAUAAGGGCCUUAAAUUUUAAUAAAAGGAUAUUUGACUUACUUAUCUUUUUAGCCCGACGAAGAAGUUAUAUAGAUACUGGGAAAGCACUCACCCAUACUACUACUACCAUACGUCAUUUUCCCAUUGGCUACAUUCCGAUCACUAAGGAGACCAGGGGAGGUUGUCUUUUUUUUUAAGAACCUUCUUACUUUUUAGCUACCCUUGCCUGAAAGCGCAAGAGACCAAGGAAAGAAAGGAAGGAAUAUCAAAUGUAGUGCUAGCUUCCCCUGAAGCGCCCAUGCUUACUACUUAAAUAUAACAAGAACAACACGACUUGGAAUCCCCAUUUCAGGAAAAGGUUGUACUAGCACCUCCUAUUAAGUUAAGUAAGGCAAGAGCCCAUUGCCAGCUCUCCUCCGGGCGGGCCUCCCCCCAAAGACUAAUUUUCUAAGCCUUCGUUCUGAGUUUUCUUCUCUUAUGCGGUAAGUUCGUCUCAUUAGGGAAUCGUUGUCUAUCAUUUAGAUAUUUGUGCAUCCCCGAGCCUGAUAGUGAUUCCUGAGGACCUUCGGAACAGAGUCAAUCAAAUGAAUAGCUGUCAUAAUAGAAUCACGGUUGACUAAAGGAACAAGAUGAUCUUUCUUUCCCAUGCUCUUCCAGACCUAUCCAUAACGAGGGGUCCCUGAGUGGCAUCUUCAUUCGAUAGGUUUCUUUAAAAAGGGCACAUUAUGAGACUAAGAUAGCCUGACUGUUCUUAUGAGCGGACUCACUUUAAAGGCUUCCAUGUAUCAAUCAGUCCCUCCCUCCCGUCUCGGUAGCUCGGUGGUAGAGCGGUUGACGGUUCACGUCGUGAUCCGUUGAUGAGCGUUGGUUCAAAUCCGAGAUUUUUAACUAUACAUAUAUUAAUAAGUAAGUUCUUCGCUUUCUGAAUGAAUGUCAGAUCGGAACUAAAAGGAGAAUGUGGUCAUAGGAUUUGGUCUCAAAUAGAUAGAUUUGAAAUGGCUAUCAAAGGUAUGUAAUGGGGCUAGAAGCAAUAGGAAUAAGACUUGUUGCGAAGAAUACUAGUUAAUUGGAAUGCCCAAGUUGGCAUCUUCUGCCGGGAUCUCUCCUAAUGGCUGUAUUAGAUUUCGAGUACCUAUUGAUGGAAGAAUUUCAGGGCAUUCCACUUACAGCGACGAAGGGAAGAUUAGUUAUGAAUCACUUACACCAUCUUGGCUUUAAAUGCAAAUUCUUUCGAUUAAAUGCUCGAAUCUUAGUCUCAAACCUGACGAUAAGACUUUACAAUUUAUUGCCUUUAUGUUAUGUAUCCCGGUGCUGUAAUGGGCUCCCUCUUAGGAUGAUUCUAAGAAACCACAACUGCUGUUACUUAACUAGUAGGCUAGAAGCCCUUUCUGCCUGUCUGUGCGAAUCUAAUAGCCAAACAACCCAUAGAAAGGUUCAUGCAACGCGAAAUGAAUAUAAACCCUUCCCGCUCUAACAAUGUGUGAGCAGCCAUGGCUCUCUCUUUGACGGUUACUUCUUGAGAUAACUAAAAAAAGGCGUAAAGCCAGCCCUCCAUUAGCAUAGGAGAACCUGAUUCCAGCCAUACUCUUAGAAUAGAAAGUAACUUCUAUCUUUAGACUUGUUAGGAGUAGACAGGCUUUAGGCAUAGGCAACCUAGCUUACUCGUUUUGAUAGUUUCCGCUAUGACUAUGUUAUGUAUGUAAUUACGGUCUUUGUUGGAUAUUGUUUAACCUAACCGUAGACUUUCUAUUUUAUUUUUCAACCCAUUCAUAGGACCACCGCCUACCGCAUUCUUGCCCCGGCCUUUUAUUUCGCCCGACACAAUGGAUUCGUCAUGGGGAACCCUAGCUUGAGGCUUGCUUGUCUCAAUCAAUUUGAUUGCUUUAACUAGUCAUGCUAUGGAGAAUUCCCAUUGAGAGCCAACUGCUUCAUGCGCGGGGAUUCUGAUUGUGUGUGGUCAUAUUUCCUAUUCAUUGAGUAAAGGGCCGCGGUAGAUUAGACCCGCAAGGCUUUCAUCGGAGCACAUCGCUUUCGCUCCUUAGUUUCUCAGUGGAAGAGGACCUUUCUCGAUCAACUAUCUUACUUGAAUGAAGAAAGAAGUCAACUUUCUAUACCAAAUUAUCUGAAUAGCCGAAUAAAGGAAUUUUUUGCUUGAUAGCCACUCCCCUGAAAAACUGCAAAGAAGACGAUUCGCUACUUCCGAAUCGCUGCAUCCAGCUCCUCCAGUCUCCUCGAUUGGCCCCCUUCGCCGUUGUGAUCCCCUUAGUUAACUUUUUUAUUGUAUAUUGAGUAGAGUGCCUGUCUGUGAUUCGGGUUUGGAUAUUCUCCCGUCUUCCCUGCCGAGCAAUCCCUCUCUCUUUACCUGCUACUGUGCUAAGGCUUCCCUUCUAACAGCAAAUAGGCCAGACCAAGCGCUCGAAAGCAAGUAAAGAAUUAGCUCAGGUGAACAGAAAGAAGAUAGAAUAAAAAGAAGAAGAGGAUAUAGAAAAGGAAAGGUAUCCCCCAUUGAAGAAGCUGGUAGUUUUUCGGGUGGAUUGCUUUUCAUAGCUAUCUUUCAUACCCUUGCGAUUCUACUUUUCGGAAAGAAUGUGUUGGUAUAGAAUCUAGCAGCAAUCCUUCUUGCUAGGCUAGUCUUAACUGAAGAAGUCAUUUCUAGACUCAGCAGUUCAGCCCGCAACUCACUAACUACAGCUUCUAUCUCCUCUAGGUCCCAUUAGACUGAUCCUUAGUCCUUCUCCCCCGCAACCAGGCCUAAAUUAAGGCUUUCCUUAUGAGAUGGGAUGCUCACUAAUCGACUGCUUCUCUCGAGAUGCGAAGAAUAGCUUAAAUAAAGACUCUCUUUGGUCCUUUCGAAGCAGAUAUUCGUACGUCCAUUGGGUUACUUGAGGGUAGCACUGGUUUCGGCUUGACAGCUUUGCUUCCUCCUAUAGCAAAGUCUGACUCUUGGAUCGGAUCAACGGUUUUUUCGUAAAAGGGUCUUUCAUAUUCAAAUUACAGAUAUUAAAAAAUCUAUCCAAUUCAAAUUGUUGUACCAAGCUUCCCUUCUUUAUAAGUAAGAAUAAGUAAGAAAUAACUUUACUUGUUCAAGUCAGUCUAGCCAACUCCCCUCACUCUAUCGAGUAAGUAAUCCAUUCCCUUCGAAUCUAAGGCUCAAUGAUGGAUCCGGGCGCUUUCCAGAGGCGAAGACUGAAACUUAUAUCACCUGGCUCCGGGUGGACCAUACUCCACCUUACGUCCAGUGGGUAGCUCCGCUCAGACUUCUACUUAAAAAAAAAGGUGGUUGGACCUAUGCCUACUAUGUCUGUGAGGAAGUUGGGCUUCUACAUCUUGAUUAACCGGGUGACUCGUGGGAUGAAAUAAUAGUUCAUUCUGGAUAGCAUGGCCUGGGCUGGUGAUCUGGGAUCUAUUCUAAGUCUCCCUAUGGGAGAAGAUGAUGAAAGGAUCAAAAAAAAGCAUCUAUUGACAAGUCGGAGUCGGUCUUACUGCCUUAGCGCAUCUGUCUUUGCUCACUCCAUGUGUGUGGGGUAGGCAUCCUCCGCACAUGCGGGUGAUGCGACGUGGCUUACAGUAGACUAGACGAUAGACUAGAGAUCAUUCGGAAAGGAUCUCCCUCGAAAAUGGGGGGUCGAUCCUCCCGGUGAACUGACCGUACCCCAAACCGACCGCAUGACUGAUUGAUGUGAUGGUCUUCAGUCUACCCUCUCCCUUGUCAACUCUGAACGAAUGCUUAGUUAGCCGUGAAUGAGAACUCUUGUUGGCUGGUAGCUCCAUGUAAGGUUAGCUCGAAAGCGAGUUCGGAAGAAAGCUGUGAUUACCUGGGGUUAGGUUGACCUUCUUUCUGCGGUACGGCUAUUAGUCUUAUUAGAGUCAACCCGGAUCAGGCAUCACCCUUGACUCUCCCAUCCUUGGUAUAGCUCUCCUCUCCCAUCUGCUCUCGGGGAUAGACUAUUGAUCUGACUCUCAUGGUCAAUCAGUUUCAAGCUUGAAGGCAAGUGCCGCCUUCAUCAAGUCUUAUUGCACUAGCAUCAACUAUGGCUGUUCCCACCACCAAUACUGCUUAUUCCGCUAAAACUGAAAAGAGACAGGACAUCUUAUGCGAGACGGAAAAGUCAUAAAGUCAAGUGCUAACGUGCAGCUCCCAUUCCUCCACCAAAUCGCUAGUAUAAGUAAACAAAUCCGAAUUGGUGGAUUCGGCAGCUCCGUGAGGCAUCAUGCCAUUCCCGAUGGAGAGCCCCCCAUCGGCACUGAAUAGUGCUCGCAAAAGACAUCCUAUUGCCCAGGCAAGUCCCCCCGCGAGGCCAAAUUUAAAUAAAGCAAAGGAGAGGACUCGACUACCAAGAGAUAACCCUAUUUUAAAUAGUAGAGACUGAAAGAAAGCACAAAAACUAAGAUCACGAACGAAAAGAUAAACUUCUUUCGCAAUUCAUGCUUUUCUGUUUUUAUGACCAGAUAUUUUUUCUUGAUUUCCAUUUCAAAUUGUUCUCUGGACUUUUUAUCAAUAUGAGGUGAUCGUAACACAGUAUAUAAGACUCGUGAUUCAGGCAAUCCAAUCUUCCGUGUGUAAGGCGGAAGCCCCCCAAAAUUGUUUUCCAAAAAUGGGUGAUCAAAAGAUCGAAUCACUAUGCGUAUCUUGGUGGUCAUUACUUUCAAAUUUCUUUUUGGCUGACUCCUCUUCCUGUUCUAUUGAUCAGAAGCAUCCAGCAGCGCCACGCCAGUAGAAAGAGUUAAGCUACUAAGCUAAGUGUUGUGGAACUCGGUAGAAGCUAUUUGCCGCUUCCGCCUCUCUAGGCUUCACAAUGGCUCCCCCCCUAUAUAGAUAGAGAGUCUUCUCCCCUCAACUAUAAUUAAUAUAAGAAAUCCGAAAGGAAUUUUCAAUUCUGAAGGAUUACCCUUUUGUUUGAGCAGGGGGCUUCGAGUCCUGUGUUGACAAAGAUCAGAUAGGAUCCUGCUGUGAUCCUCGAUCUCUUCCUUAAUAUUGAUCAACGUUCUAUCGAUAAUUCCAUUAUAGAUCGAGUCAAGGGAGAAUGCUUCUUUAAAAAUAAACUAAUCAAUAUAAAACUAAUUCCAUUAAUUAGGAGGCCUAAUAUAAUCUAAUCCCCAAAUCCAUCUCUCAUUAGCUAAAGCUACCUACCUAGUUUUGCUGAAGCUCUGCCAGUAUAGCACGGUGCUCUUUUUUAGUUUUUUUAUCUAUAUUCGCUGAACACUUCCAAUACCUCACCACACCGAUUUCACAGCUCGAUAAGAGCAGCUCGACUUUCUUCGCAGCUUUCGAGCCUUCCUUAUCUUGCUUGCUCUUCUUUAAAGAAAUUGCUUGAGCGGCUUGGCUUUCAAAGAAAAUCUUACCGCAACGGCAGGAGUCUUUCUUAGUGCAAUACGUUCAACAACCCUUAAAGCGUGCGGGCGGCCCUAGCAUACAGAAAAGAAAGAAGUCGUCCUAUUCGAAAACUUAAUUUCAGUCCUAGUAGGUGCGAUAUUGAAGGCCUUCACGGGCUUACUUAGUGCUUGUGCUAAGGAGUUCAGGGCUAAGGGCUGGAGCGUAGGAAGCAUUGGCUAUCAGAACCCUCGGAGGGAACUAACUCCUUUCUUGCAAAGCUGCUUCAUGAGAAAGAAGUUGUCUGUGUAUUGGAUCCGCUCUUCUGUUAGCAUAAACAUGAAUUAGAUUCUAUUCGUCUUAUUUAUUCUUAAGAGAACCCCCCACCCGAACCAUUCUUAAGACCACCAAGCUCUCUCGAAUGAGUUCUAUUUUUUCUGCUUUCGAGAUACACAGGGGGCUAAAUCUCCUCCUAACUAAUAAGUGAAACUUUGUGCCUAGAUCGUCCUGAAGACGGAUGCGACGGGAAGAAGUGGCAUUUGGAAGUGUUGCUGACUUAACAUUUAGGUUUCGGCAUAACAAAGCUUGCACUGUCUUUUCGCACUUAGGCGCACAGCGUUCCAUUGGUAAUGAUUCAACUACGGUGCCACAAAUUCGCAAACUGAUCCUAAGUAAUCGUUGUUGUUCAUUAGAUUCCGGAGGAACGACUUCGUUAGGAUUGGGGAAUUGCUGCGAUUCUUCCUGAAUAGCCUGGAUUCUCCCGUCGAGAGUCACUUUGAAAGUAUUACCUAAACUCUUCCGACUGAAUAUGAUGAAGCCUAUAAAACAACGAGCUACUAUCAUUUCUUCAUUAUAGAUUGAUAUCUUAUUCGAACUUAAUGCACAAAUAGAUGGAAUAGCAGCAAAUAGCAUCUUUCUAGCUUGCAUAUUCCUGGAACUAAAUCUCAUAGGUUCUAUCUAUCUUUCAGCAACUAAACGGGAAGUGGUUUAGGAAAGGACUUUAGAAUCAAUCGGAUGCGCUCGCCCAGCGAUAAAGGCCCCGACCCUGCCCUGCCAACCAAGUAAAAAUAAAAAAGAAAGAAGAGAACGAAAGGAGAAAAGAGAACUUCGUAUUUUGGUAAUUCUCUAGGAGUCAUGUUUAACCUUGAAUGCUAUUAAUCAAUUCUACAGCAAUAGUCCCUCGGACUCGGAAAGUUCUAACGAAAAUGGCUAACCCAAUAGCGGAUUCCGCAGCUGCCACCGUUGAAACCAAUGAAGCAAAUGAUUGACCCAUCAUAUCAUCCGAAGAAACGGAAAAUACCAAAAAGUUCGAAUUCACAGCUAAUAACAUUGAUUCAAUUGGCAUUGACAUAAUAGGAAUAUUUCGUCUAUUAAGGAGGAUUCCCCGAAUACCUAAAAUAGAGAUGAUCAUAGAAAAUGUCAAAUAUUUGAUAGGAUCCGUUUCGGAAACGUGGAAUGUUAGAGUAAUUCAAAGGAUAAUUUGAUAAGAACAAACAAUAGGGAUCUUUUAGUUUUCUAUGAACCACUUUAUUUCCUGCCAUAUGGGGCUUUUUGGAUUACCUAUACAGUCCCCUACGCGCUUUAGGUGUUGUAAUCGGGAGGCGUUAGAAAUAAAGUGGUUCAUAUCGGCAAAGUGGGCAUUUAUGCCUCUCGCAAUAUCCGCCUCGUCUUGAAUUUGGAGCGUGAGGUGCCCCUCCUUAUAUAAGGACAGAGCCUUUGCCACAAUCAUGGAGAUUUUUCUGUCGCAGAGAGCGAAAUGACGUUCAGAAAACCGCCACUCCUUGGACGCAAGCAUAUCUUGCCAUUGCUCACGUUCCGCACUGUCCACAGCCGCCCAAAGGUCAUUUUGGGAGAUCUCCCCUUCGACCACCGAAGAGGAAGAAGGGACUUCCACGGGUGGAUUCCCGGGAACCUGUGGUAGCGUCCCCGGAUCUAACUGUAACAAGGGGUCUACUGUGCUCCACUGUAAAAAAGGCUCCACAGCGCUCAAGAGUUCAUUUACUGGCAUCAUUAAAGUUUUGGUUUCUUUUUGAACUGCUCCCCCCAACAAGAGGAAAGACUUGUUUGUUGUAAAUAGCUGGUUGGGUUUACCAAUCAAGAAAGCAAAUAGGACUCUUGGGAACAAGAGGAUGUGUGAGACUUUAUUUAUUUUCCGAACCAGGUACGUGGUCCUUCCCUGAAAUGUAUUAACACGGUUUCACUUUGAUGCGUGAAAACAGCCAGGUAUAAAUCCACUCAAAGUUUUUAUCCUUCUCGAGCUUCGAUUUCAUACCUUAAAGGAGAUUCGAGAAAAGAUAGAAUAGGAAGACGUGUUUCCAGAACAAACAAGAUACGGGUUGAGAGGGGGAAGUUAGCAAAGUUAGACAAGAUUGGAAUGGGCAUAGGAACAUGUAUUGAUGUACCAGAUCGGCUAAUGCUCCCAGGUUGAUGCGAAGUAUUCCACCAGUUGACUGAAGACUUAAUUAUUGGUAUAUCGAUCGGUCCAGCACGGAUUGAAAUAGGAGCCGGUUCGACAGGAAGCUUUUGAAAACGCAGUGCACCCAGGUAAAUCAGAAACGAGAUGAAUACAGAGGUUAAACAAGCAUCCCACACCCAAAAGGUGCCCCACGUAGGUCUUCCCCGAAACCCCCUAGUAACUAAGGUAAACAACGUAAAAAAAGCACCCAUUUCUGUACCGGUUCCGGAAGAGCGAAGAAAAAGGGGAUGUUUUGUUAAUAGGAAUAAGAAAGUGUUUAUAGCCGUAGCUAUAUAAACAAGAAUACUCAUCCGAGCCGCAGGAACAUGUACAUAAAGAAUACGAGAAUUUACACCUUGUUGAAGAUCUAAUGGUGCUACCCGAAGACUUAAAUGAAUAGCCAUCGCUGUUAAGAACAACCGAGAUCCAAUGAAAAUUAGCGCAUAGCUUCUGGUCUUUGACAUAAAAAAAGAAGGUUGUAAUAAC
RNAcentral lists this long non-coding RNA (19147 nucleotides) under Cicer arietinum (chickpea). RNAcentral describes it as "long non-coding RNA (CARI_LNC001481)". Lineage: Eukaryota; Viridiplantae; Streptophyta; Magnoliopsida; Fabales; Fabaceae. The record is from RNAcentral.